This is a non-coding RNA of Myotis lucifugus (little brown bat), 71 nucleotides long. NCBI's taxonomy places the organism in Eukaryota, Metazoa, Chordata, Mammalia, Chiroptera, Vespertilionidae. The record is from Rfam.
GCCCACGUGGCUCAGUGGUUGAGCGUUGACCUAUGAACCGGGAGGUCACGGUUCAAUUCCUGGCGAGGGCA